This 86-nucleotide transfer RNA is filed under the name Lentisphaerota bacterium. RNAcentral's name for it is "Lentisphaerae bacterium (anaerobic digester metagenome) tRNA-Leu". It matches the Rfam family "tRNA". Rfam says of the family: Transfer RNA (tRNA) molecules are approximately 80 nucleotides in length. Their secondary structure includes four short double-helical elements and three loops (D, anti-codon, and T loops). The record is from RNAcentral. Lineage: Bacteria; Pseudomonadati; Lentisphaerota.
GCCUGGGUGGCGGAAUGGCAGACGCAUCGGACUUAAAAUCCGAAGGUCGAGAGAUCGUGCGGGUUCGACUCCCGCCCCAGGCACCA